CUCCAACGGCGUCUGCCAGCUUCUCUGUCAGCACGCCUGCACCAGCUCACAAUAAUGGCUGCCACCAAUGUCUCAGUCCCUAGAGAAGUCUCACCUCUAACUGAGAUUCACCCAGAGCCUAUCAGAGAGAAGCAGCUGCCUCCAUCCCUCCGAUUUUCUCUAGCAGUCUAGACAACCUAUGAUGCCCAGAAAUUUGGACUGCUGUCUGCAAGUGGAAAGACAAAGCUACACAUCGAUUGGGCGGUCAUGACAGCAGUUGGCCAGCUGCUGGUCCAUCCACAAGUCUUACAACAAUCCAACAGAUUCUGGAUGAAAUUGAGAACUUCGGGAACUCAUAUGCAAUCAGAUCCCAAACAGAUGGUGCUCAUCACCAUGAUCCUGGUCCAGCUCAAGACAUGAUAUUCAAAGCCCCAAGAUGUAGCUGUAAUUAAGAGGUCCAGAUGCAAAUCCCAUCAUCCAAGAGAUUUCCUCAAAAUAUGGAAUAAUGUGGAAAGCCUUUUUGAAAUGGCUGGGCAGAUGGCAGCGAGAGGACCUGGGCUGUGCAAGAGGCCAGUGGCUGCGUUCCUCAGCACUCAGGAGGAUUUCAAAGUGCCCAGGACCUGAGCGCCUGGGCCCUUCCAGGAGCUGUUGCCACGUGGAGACCACAAACUUGCUCCUGUGCUCAGAACUGCAGCUAUCUCUUCAUAAGCCCAUGCCCUGGGGCUUGGAGGAUGAAAACUGCUCCCCAAGAUGCCACCUUUAAAAACAGAAUGAAGCAUCUGCUCUGACAGCCUCUGGCUUGUUGGUAGCCUAUCCUAGUGGAAACAAGGAGUUGUUCUAACUUACCUUAGAGCAAAUCCCUGGUUCUCAACCCGACUGUUCAACCCUGGGACACUGAAAGAAAUACAGAGGCCCAGGCCCCACCUGGGCCUGCUCAGCCCAGCUCUCUCAGGUCAGGUCCUUUCAUGAUUCAGGUGAGCAGCCCAGGCUAGGAACUACGGGAAUCGGCUCUCGGAUUAGAAGUGAGGAUCUUCCAUUUUCAGUACGACAACCGGCCAUUUCUACACCAAGCAAGCAGAGGAUUGCUCAGCUUUUGCACUGCUGUCUUCUCAAGAACAAGUCAAGGACCACUGCAACAGCUUGGAACCUGGGCAUGAUUUCCUGGGUGAGGAGCAUUGCUCCCUGAGAGCAGGGUCAGCAGAAAGAGAGGUCCUGGCUCUUUUACUUGGUGACAUCCUGCAGUGAGCACAGCCCUAGUGAAGGACUGGUCCUAACCUUGACUCCCCCUGGUGUAAACACCUUGAAAUAUCCAGAGAAUGGGGCACAUCAGUUAAAUCAGUUGCAUUUAAUGGGCCUUUGCCGGCAGUGAGCUCCUGGGUUUCCCUGCGUCACUUCAGUGCCACCUGCGUGAAUGAAAGGCUGCCAAGUUAGACCUGCCCGUUGAAUUAAACCCGCAAUCUCAUUCUUCUCAAUAGCUGUGUCCUUGUGAUGCUUUGCCCUAUGCAGGCUAACCCUAGGAGCCCAGUAGGAACUCCUGUUUCUGCAAUGCCAAUUUGCCUAGGAGGUUGGGUGUACCAGCAAAAAUCUGUCUUUGAUCGCCAGAUAAUUCAGAUAGGCACAUAUAAUUGUAUAGAAACCAUUUCCUUCUGGCAGUGGAUUGUAGAGGGGAACAUUCUGGCUAAGGAGCUAUGAAACUGUUGGCUGCAGUAUAAAUGAGAUUCCACUCUGAGUUUGUGGUGACAAGCGACCUUUUCUGACCUGUAGCCCAUGCAGCAGUUAUCUCUUAAAUUUGAGCAUUUGACCCAGAAGGUAGUUCUCAUUCCUUCAAAUCCAUGGACUCGUGGUAUACGGGCCUUCACAUUCUGGUUCAGUGCCCUAGCUUUACCCCCAAGAGAGUGAAAACUUCAAGAGUUUGUCAGUGAUUAAAAUACAAGUACGCAUGCAUGCACGCACACAUCUUAUUUUCAGACUCCUAUGACACUGUAAUGCUUCCAAACUGAUGUCGGAAUCUAACUAAAUGAAAAUAUUUGUCAUCUGUCGUGUAGUAGUCAGGAUAGAGUAGGAUAGGAUGUCGUAACAGAACCCCUCAAAACUCAGUGGCUUAAACCUCAAAGCUUUAUUUUUCAAUCACCUUCCAAGUGAGUGGCAGAGAGUUCAUUCUUCAUUGUUACUCAAGAACUGAGGCUGCUGGAGGCACCACCAUCUUGACGUGGAGUAUUUGCCACUGCGUUGGGCUCUCACACCUUCUCAGUGUCAUUCGGGAAGCCACGUUCAUCACUUAUGCUCUCAUCCCACUGGAAAGAACUGCACAGGGGCCCUGGUUGCAGGUGGUCCAUGGAUUUGAAGUUGUGCUGAGGAAGAGAGGAGAGCCGUAUGUGGUAUGCUGAACGACAUUGGGCAGAGGAGAAAGCUUUAAAGCAUACAUGUGCGUUGCUGUUGAAGUUUCUUCCUGACAUACAUAAAUGAAAUCAGAGAAGAAGGAGGCGAGCCUGUGACACUUCUGGGACCUCAUCACUUUCAUUGGACAGAAAAGGCUCUGCAUUCAACCAGCAGCUCCAGGGGUUAUAAUCCAAAACAGCCUUUUAGACCUGGAACUUACAAUUUCCUUCCAAAUGACUGUGG
This 2601-nucleotide long non-coding RNA is filed under the name Equus asinus (donkey). RNAcentral's name for it is "lncRNA (ENSEASG00005033239.1)". Lineage: Eukaryota; Metazoa; Chordata; Mammalia; Perissodactyla; Equidae. The record is from RNAcentral.